GAUGAACGCUGGCGGCGUGCCUAAUACAUGCAAGUCGAGCGAACAGACGAGGAGCUUGCUCCUCUGACGUUAGCGGCGGACGGGUGAGUAACACGUGGAUAACCUACCUAUAAGACUGGGAUAACUUCGGGAAACCGGAGCUAUUACCGGAUAAUAUAUUGAACCGCAUGGUUCAAUAGUGAAAGACGGUUUUGCUGUCACUUAUAGAUGGAUCCGCGCCGCAUUAGCUAGUUGGUAAGGUAACGGCUUACCAAGGCAACGAUGCGUAGCCGACCUGAGAGGGUGAUCGGCCACACUGGAACUGAGACACGGUACAGACUCCUACGGGAGGCAGCAGUAGGGAAUCUUCCGCAAUGGGCGAAAGCCUGACGGAGCAACGCCGCGUGAGUGAUGAAGGUCUUCGGAUCGUAAAACUCUGUUAUUAGGGAAGAACAAAUGUGUAAGUAACUAUGCACGUCUUGACGGUACCUAAUCAGAAAGCCACGGCUAACUACGUG
RNAcentral lists this ribosomal RNA (497 nucleotides) under uncultured bacterium. Its description in RNAcentral is "partial 16S ribosomal RNA". It matches the Rfam family "Bacterial small subunit ribosomal RNA", at positions 28 to 507 of the family's 1533-position model. The record is from RNAcentral.